AGAAUACGAGAAGUGCUCUACAAUAAAGGGGAGGAUGGUACAUCACUUGGUAGGCUUGUGCUGGAGGACUGGGGAAGACAAACCAGCUGAAGCAGGACUUGAAUGACAUGGCAUUUCACAAGUAGAGAACUGCGGGGAGCUGAAAGAAGGUCAUCGUGGGAUGAUGUUAGAGGCCUGUCAAAAAAACCUGUCAGCUGCAAAGGCGAUAAGGGGGGCAGUUAAAAGAAGAUACUGGAGCCUUAAGCUUCUUAAUGUGCCAAGAAUCAAUCCCAUGAAAGCAAACAACUUGAAAAAGGGUUAUACGUAUUUAGGAAAUCUCUGAGGCUCCCUUCCUGCUCUGCUCGAGCUGGAGCGAGUGCUCAAGUUUUCUCACCCUAAUGACCCCUGAAGCAGCCCUGAGGGAUUGCAAAACAAGGCCGUUACACAAGGCAGCUUGCUAAUUGAGAAGUUGAUCGGGGGUAGAGAAAUCCUGCUUUACCACGUUAAGUGUCGAAAUCAAGCAUGACUAGAUUGACGUCGCCAAAUCACCGUCUGGAGGCCACUCCACGCCAGGAGCAGCAGGGCUUUUCACACCUGAUAGGCCCUCACUCUAUCUACAUCAAG
Long non-coding RNA from Homo sapiens (human), 603 nucleotides. The record is from Ensembl. NCBI's taxonomy places the organism in Eukaryota, Metazoa, Chordata, Mammalia, Primates, Hominidae.